UUUUUGAAAUGGGUUCUAUUCCCAAACCGUGUAUACAUACCUUUGUUGCUUUGGCAGGCCGCCUUCUAGGCGUCGGCUCCGGCUGACUGCGCCUGCCAGAGGACCCAAAUUCUUCUGUUUAGUGAUGUCUGAGUACUAUAUAAUAGUUAAAACUUUCAACAACGGAUCUCUUGGUUCUGGCAUCGAUGAAGAACGCAGCGAAAUGCGAUAAGUAAUGUGAAUUGCAGAAUUCAGUGAAUCAUCGAAUCUUUGAACGCACAUUGCGCCCCUUGGUAUUCCGAGGGGCAUGCCUGUUCGAGCGUCAUUAUAACCACUCAAGCCUCGGCUUGGUCUUGGGGUUCGCGGUUUCGCGGCCCUUAAAAUCAGUGGCGGUGCCGUCUGGCUCUAAGCGUAGUAAUUCUCUCGCUAUAGGGUCCAGGUGACCACCUGCCAUAACCCCCCAUUCUUUACGGUUGACCUCGGAUCAGGUAGGGAUACCCGCUGAACUAA
Molecule: ribosomal RNA, 489 nt
Filed under: Hyaloscypha finlandica
Lineage: Eukaryota; Fungi; Ascomycota; Leotiomycetes; Helotiales; Hyaloscyphaceae
Description: eukaryotic LSU rRNA
Rfam family: 5.8S ribosomal RNA (bases 151-304)
Source: RNAcentral